CCGGCUAACCUCGUGCCAGCAGCCGCGGUAAUACGAGGGGCCCGAGCGUUAAUCAGAAUCACUGGGCUUAAAGCGUGCGCAGGCGGUCCAGCAAGCGUCUUGUGAAAUCCCUCGGCUCAACCGGGGAAGUGCAGGGCGAACUGCUGGACUUGAGGCAGGUAGGGGCUGAUGGAACCAUGGGUGGAGCGGUGAAAUGCGUAGAU
This 203-nucleotide ribosomal RNA is filed under the name Chloropicon laureae. RNAcentral's name for it is "partial Bacterial small subunit ribosomal RNA". It matches the Rfam family "Bacterial small subunit ribosomal RNA", at positions 493 to 695 of the family's 1533-position model. The record is from RNAcentral. Lineage: Eukaryota; Viridiplantae; Chlorophyta; Chloropicophyceae; Chloropicales; Chloropicaceae.